GCUCUGAAGUAGAUUUACGUCGGAUUGCAAAUCCGAAAUCGGAGGUUAAACCCCCUCCCCGAGCUUU
RNAcentral lists this transfer RNA (67 nucleotides) under Squatina nebulosa (clouded angelshark). RNAcentral's name for it is "tRNA-Cys". Lineage: Eukaryota; Metazoa; Chordata; Chondrichthyes; Squatinidae. The record is from RNAcentral.